GGACUACUGGGGUUUCUAAUCCUGUUCGCUCCCCACGCUUUCGCUCCUCAGCGUCAGUAAUGGCCCAGAGAUCCGCCUUCGCCACCGGUGUUCCUCCUGAUAUCUGCGCAUUUCACCGCUACACCAGGAAUUCCGAUCUCCCCUACCACACUCUAGCUAGCCCGUAUCGACUGCAGACCCGAGGUUAAGCCUCGGGCUUUCACAAUCGACGUGACAAGCCGCCUACGAGCUCUUUACGCCCAAUAAUUCCGGACAACGCUUGCGCCCUACGUAUUACCGCGGCUGCUGGCAC
RNAcentral lists this ribosomal RNA (292 nucleotides) under uncultured bacterium. RNAcentral describes it as "partial 16S ribosomal RNA". The record is from RNAcentral.